AGUGAACGCUGGCGGUAGGCCUAACACAUGCAAGUCGAACGGCAGCACAGUAAGAGCUUGCUCUUACGGGUGGCGAGUGGCGGACGGGUGAGGAAUAUAUCGGAAUCUACUCUUUCGUGGGGGAUAACGUAGGGAAACUUACGCUAAUACCGCAUACGAUCUACGGGUGAAAGCAGGGGAUCUUCGGACCUUGCGCGAUUGAAUUAGCCGAUGUCGGAUUAGCUAGUUGGCGGGGUAAAGGCCCACCCAGGCGACGAUCCGUAGCUGGUCUGAGAGGAUGGUCGGCCACACUGGAACUGAGACACGGUCCAGACUCCUACGGGAGGCAGCAGUGGGGAAUAUUAGGCAAUGGGCGCAAGCCUGAUCCAGCCAUACCGCGUGGGUGAAGGAGGCCUUCGGGUUGUAAAGCCCUUUUGUUGGGAAAGAAAAGCAGCAGGUUGAUACCCCGCUGUUCUGACGGUACCCAAUAAAUAAGCACCGGCUAACUUCGUG
This 492-nucleotide ribosomal RNA is filed under the name uncultured bacterium. RNAcentral describes it as "partial 16S ribosomal RNA". It matches the Rfam family "Bacterial small subunit ribosomal RNA", at positions 29 to 507 of the family's 1533-position model. The record is from RNAcentral.